GAUGAACGCUGGCGGCGUGCCUAAUACAUGCAAGUCGAGCGAACGGACGAGAAGCUUGCUUCUCUGAUGUUAGCGGCGGACGGGUGAGUAACACGUGGAUAACCUACCUAUAAGACUGGGAUAACUUCGGGAAACCGGAGCUAAUACCGGAUAAUAUUUUGAACCGCAUGGUUCAAAAGUGAAAGACGGUCUUGCUGUCACUUAUAGAUGGAUCCGCGCUGCAUUAGCUAGUUGGUAAGGUAACGGCUUACCAAGGCAACGAUGCAUAGCCGACCUGAGAGGGUGAUCGGCCACACUGGAACUGAGACACGGUCCAGACUCCUACGGGAGGCAGCAGUAGGGAAUCUUCCGCAAUGGGCGAAAGCCUGACGGAGCAACGCCGCGUGAGUGAUGAAGGUCUUCGGAUCGUAAAACUCUGUUAUUAGGGAAGAACAUAUGUGUAAGUAACUGUGCACACCUUGACGGUACCUAAUCAGAAAGCCACGGCUAACUACGUGCCAGCAGCCGCGGUAAUACGUAGGUGGCAAGCGUUAUCCGGAAUUAUUGGGCGUAAAGCGCGCGUAGGCGGUUUUUUAAGUCUGAUGUGAAAGCCCACGGCUCAACCGUGGAGGGUCAUUGGAAACUGGAAAACUUGAGUGCAGAAGAGGAAAGUGGAAUUCCAUGUGUAGCGGUGAAAUGCGCAGAGAUAUGGAGGAACACCAGUGGCGAAGGCGACUUUCUGGUCUGUAACUGACGCUGAUGUGCGAAAGCGUGGGGAUCAAACAGGAUUAGAUACCCUGGUAGUCCACGCCGUAAACGAUGAGUGCUAAGUGUUAGGGGGUUUCCGCCCCUUAGUGCUGCAGCUAACGCAUUAAGCACUCCGCCUGGGGAGUACGACCGCAAGGUUGAAACUCAAAGGAAUUGACGGGGACCCGCACAAGCGGUGGAGCAUGUGGUUUAAUUCGAAGCAACGCGAAGAACCUUACCAAAUCUUGACAUCCUUUGACAACUCUAGAGAUAGAGCUUUCCCCUUCGGGGGACAAAGUGACAGGUGGUGCAUGGUUGUCGUCAGCUCGUGUCGUGAGAUGUUGGGUUAAGUCCCGCAACGAGCGCAACCCUUAAGCUUAGUUGCCAUCAUUAAGUUGGGCACUCUAAGUUGACUGCCGGUGACAAACCGGAGGAAGGUGGGGAUGACGUCAAAUCAUCAUGCCCCUUAUGAUUUGGGCUACACACGUGCUACAAUGGACAAUACAAAGGGCAGCGAAACCGCGAGGUCAAGCAAAUCCCAUAAAGUUGUUCUCAGUUCGGAUUGUAGUCUGCAACUCGACUACAUGAAGCUGGAAUCGCUAGUAAUCGUAGAUCAGCAUGCUACGGUGAAUACGUUCCCGGGUCU
This 1372-nucleotide ribosomal RNA is filed under the name uncultured bacterium. RNAcentral describes it as "bacterial SSU rRNA". It matches the Rfam family "Bacterial small subunit ribosomal RNA", at positions 28 to 1381 of the family's 1533-position model. The record is from RNAcentral.